CACUAACUAAUUUAUUAAAAUACCUGUUUUGGAUAUAGGAUUUAACCUUAUUAUUAU
Molecule: transfer RNA, 57 nt
Filed under: Parachtes ignavus
Lineage: Eukaryota; Metazoa; Arthropoda; Arachnida; Araneae; Dysderidae
Description: tRNA-Pro
Source: RNAcentral